RNAcentral lists this ribosomal RNA (253 nucleotides) under uncultured bacterium. RNAcentral describes it as "partial 16S ribosomal RNA". It matches the Rfam family "Bacterial small subunit ribosomal RNA", at positions 524 to 776 of the family's 1533-position model. The record is from RNAcentral.
UAAGUAGGGAGCAAGCGUUGUCCGGAAUCAUUGGGCGUAAAGAGCGCGUAGGCGGCCGUGUAAGUCCGUUCUGAAAGUCGGAGGCUCAACCUCCGAAAGCGGAUGGAUACUGCACGGCUAGAGUCCGGAAGAGGCGAGUGGAAUUCCUGGUGUAGCGGUGGAAUGCGCAGAUAUCAGGAGGAACACCAACGGCGAAGGCAGCUCGCUGGGACGGUACUGACGCUGAGGCGCGAAAGCGUGGGGAGCAAACAGG